GACGAACGCUGGCGGCGUGCCUAAUACAUGCAAGUCGAGCGGUCCCUUCGGGGAUAGCGGCGGACGGGUGAGUAACACGUAGGCAACCUGCCUGUAAGACCGGAAUAACUAUCGGAAACGAUAGCUAAGACCGGAUAGCUGGUUUUCUCGCAUGAGAGAAUCAUGAAACACGGGGCAACCUGUGGCUUACAGAUGGGCCUGCGGCGCAUUAGCUAGUUGGUAGGGUAACGGCCUACCAAGGCGACGAUGCGUAGCCGACCUGAGAGGGUGACCGGCCACACUGGGACUGAGACACGGCCCAGACUCCUACGGGAGGCAGCAGUAGGGAAUCUUCCGCAAUGGACGCAAGUCUGACGGAGCAACGCCGCGUGAGUGAUGAAGGUCUUCGGAUCGUAAAGCUCUGUUGCCCUAGACGAACAGCAAGGAGAGUAACUGCUCUUUGUGUGACGGUAUAGGAGAAGAAAGCCCCGGCUAACUACGUGCCAGCAGCCGCAGUAA
This 498-nucleotide ribosomal RNA is filed under the name uncultured bacterium. RNAcentral describes it as "partial 16S ribosomal RNA". It matches the Rfam family "Bacterial small subunit ribosomal RNA", at positions 28 to 523 of the family's 1533-position model. The record is from RNAcentral.